RNAcentral lists this long non-coding RNA (1985 nucleotides) under Rattus norvegicus (Norway rat). Its description in RNAcentral is "long non-coding RNA NONRATT018818". The record is from RNAcentral. Lineage: Eukaryota; Metazoa; Chordata; Mammalia; Rodentia; Muridae.
AAGGAGGCAGCAGAGGCCACAGUCCCCAACUGCACAUCUCAAAGCAAUGGCCACCGUUUCGUCCAGCCCUGUUUCAAAACAAACUCAGCUCAUACCGUGGAAGGAAUAUUUAGAUCUUCCUUAUAUUUUUGCUUUUUUUUUUUUACAUUUCUUUGAAAUGUCACUGACUUGUGUUUUUAUUUGCUUUUGAAGGAUACUGUGGGUAAACUACACCUUCCUUUAGUGGGCAGCCUGUGAGAUGCUCACACGUGCUCACUCUCUUAUCACGGUUUCUAUCUUUUAGCUCUCCGGCUUGACUACCAACGUCGUGGACAUAAUUUUGGCUCAUCACUUCGGGCAGGGACGCAGAGACCUGGAGAUCGAAAGACCUAUUCUGGGCCAAAAUGAUAACAGAUUGAAAACAUUAAAGUGUUCUACUUUACUGGUGGUUGGGGACAAUUCACCUGCUGUGGAAGCAGAUGGCAGACUGUGGAGGACUGCCCCAAGUAGUUCAGCCUGGGAAGCUCAUCGAGGCCUUCAAGUCCUUUUUGCAGGGGAUGGGCUACAUACCAUCUGCCAGCAUGACCCGGCUCGCCCGAUCACGAACCCACUCCACCUCAAGUAGCAUUGGCUCUGGAGAAAGUCCCUUCAGCAGGUCUGUGACCAGCAAUCAGUCAGAUGGAACUCAAGAAUCCUGUGAGUCCCCUGAUGUCCUGGACAGACACCAGACCAUGGAAGUGUCUUGCUAAGCAGAUGCUCCUCCCCUGGACCAUGCAAGUCCCUCCUCCUUGAAAUGACCACUCCAUAAUAGAACAUUUCAUUCCGUCAGCUGGCCUCCACUUUCUUUCACUCAUGCAUGGCCACAGCAUCUCUCUCUAGUAGGCUGGAUUAUCAUUCUCUCUGCCCUUUUGUAUGUACCGAGAACCACACCCAUGCCAUUACUGUAACAUUCCAACACCUUGAUCUGAUCCGAUCUCCAUAUCUUCUCUUGCCAGCCUUUCCCUGCGCUCCCUCAAAUAUGUAUCUGACGAGACUCUUUAAUUCCCAACUCCAUGUGUGUGCGAGCACGCGUGUCUGUGUCUGUGUGUGCAUAGUUCUGUGAUUUUAGACAUGCUUUCUUGUAGUGCUUCUGCAAAGGGACUUUUUUGAAUUCUCAGUGGCAUUUUUAAGGGAAAUAUGCAGAGUGGAUAUCUGGGUGGGAUAGGCCACAAGAUUGGAUUUUGGUUCCACUUGGACAACUAACAAUAUUUGUAGAGUGAUUUCAGGAGAGAGCAGGUCUGAGGAAUAUGUGAGGCUAUAGUUACUGUGUGGGCCACUGGUGAGGUAACGAUUACACAGAUAGGCAGGCAGGGUGGCAGUCACCUCCCCUGUCCACGUGGAUUCAUACCUGUCAUCGUGUAAGUCAGAGGGAGGGAUCUGAAGCCUGUGAGUGAUGUCUGGUACACUGUGGAGUUUUCUCCAGAGAAGUGGCCUAAGCCCUCGGUUAGCCGAGAAAGAUGGAAAGCAAAGCGCCAGGCUUCGCUCUACAGAGAGAAAGUGCUGUCCCUGAAGCAUCUGAGUCCACUUACCAGACACCCAGGCAUCAGCAGGAAGUGCCUCCUGGUCUGAGGGAGAGCGGUUCUCCAUCCCUCGGUCCCAGAGAACAGAGUGAUAUUUGAAAAUGCCAUCGAUGGUGAGGGUUUUAUUGGGGAAGAGGAAGGACCGUUAGCACACACCAUCAUGGUAAAUAAGUGGAGCCUAAGUGUCAGCAGACAUGAUGAAAGCCAAGUCACCUUGAAGGUGACUUUUCUGGGAAGGUCUUAAGCAUGUAAUGUCCCUUAAUAGGAGGGAAAGGGACAAUCUCAGGGCAGCCUUGUCCAGGUAGAAAUAUUUUGCCCCCCUGUCUGUUGUUGGUGAGGGGUCACACCAGCCAGGGAGACCCUCUGGGAAGAAGCUGCCACACACAAGGACUCUGGAAGGAUCCACAUGUGAGCCCAGCCAGGGUCAUACGGUUCCCAACCUGAGGA